Molecule: long non-coding RNA, 1366 nt
Organism: Apis cerana (Asiatic honeybee)
Lineage: Eukaryota; Metazoa; Arthropoda; Insecta; Hymenoptera; Apidae
Source: RefSeq, a predicted model, not a curated record
UAUAUUUUACAUAUACAUUUUUUUAAUAUUAUAUGUAUUUAUCAUAUACAUUCUAAUAUUUCUAAAAUUAUUUCAACAAAAUAAGAUAAUUUUAGAGAUAAUAUUAAAAUCCUAUAUUUUCUUACCAUUAACUUACAACUCGUAACUGUAUUUUGAAUAUUGUACAGCAUUAAAGAACCGUGACGAGAUAAAAUGAAUAUGAAUGAAAAUUUUGACGGCCAUAUAUAAUAAAGUGGUUUUCGCUUCUCGAAGUUCCGAUGAGGGUUCGUCCCGCGCAUAAUUGGGGAUCUCAUGUAAAACACGCAUGUGCGCAAAUGCUGUCUUGUUUAAGUGGCACAACAGAAAAACCGAUUACGCGGAUGGGAGAGAGUUGAUUUCCCCCAAAAGUAAAGAGGAGGAAAAUGAGCUAGAAGGCGAGCAUAGUAGCGCCGCCACAGCUGCCCGUGGCGAAUCCGUUUUUAUCCCCGCGUUGGGGUUGCGAGAAACCCCUCGAUCCAACGCAGUCCAUCAUUCUCGUCGACGACUUGUCAACUCCAUUAAGUUAUGAGCAGGCAUGUGCGAAUAUUUCAAGAGUUUUCAUCUCUGUCCUCGAGCACAAAAUUCGAUUCACUUUUCGUGCGCAAGUAAAUUGACGUGUCGAGUAGUUGAAAUAAAGUUAGAAGACCAUGUGCAUCACUUCAAAAUCAAAUUUACAAUUAUAUCCGAUCCAAUUAAAGAGCUCAAAAUUCAAUGUACAGACUUGUUAAAGACUUCUAUUUCUAUCAAACAAAUCAACAGAAAACAAACAAAUGUUGAAAAACAAAGAUAAAUCGGAAAAAGAAAAAAUGAAAAGGGAUUCUUCCUCCAUGAUAUAGAGUCGAGAGCUUGGUAAAGGAAGGGAGCAAAUAUCAUUACGCGGCUGCGGCGCGAUUCGAUUAAAACGCUAUUCACGUGUAUCUAGCCGAGGUCCGCAUAAACCUCGAAUAUAAACUGGCCGAUAGUAAAGCGGCGUAACGUAAUUCAGGCCGGGCUGAAAAGCGGCGGGGUGUUCGUACAAAAGGAGAAGGGCUGCUGCUGUUGCUGCUGCUGCGGUGGUGGGCCAGAACGUGACGCAGCGUGACUCGUUUACUCGCUACGCUAGCACAAUGCGUUCGUCAGUGGCGUAACAUACUAUGUAGUACAUACAUAUAGAGUGCUUCAAAAAUACAAACCUGUUAGAUAAUAAUUCUCCGAACGGAGAGUUUAGUUGUUUUUUAUCUAAUUAAAAAUUUUAUUAAUUAAGCUUUAAGGAUACUUACACUUAAGUUUUAGUUUAUCAAUAAAUGAUUAUCUACGAUUAUAUGAUUAUAAAAUAAUAUGUUGAAUAAAGUGAAAUCAUAAUAAAAUA